Hemicordylus capensis (graceful crag lizard) is the source of this 511-nucleotide long non-coding RNA. RefSeq lists it as uncharacterized. The record is from RefSeq and is a predicted model, not a curated record. The transcript has 3 exons. Lineage: Eukaryota; Metazoa; Chordata; Lepidosauria; Squamata; Cordylidae.
CUGCGGCCAGGUGCAGAAGCGCCGGAGAAAAGCUGUAGCUUGUCUGGACAGGGAUCCGCCUACCCAGAGUCCAAAGGAUGAUCAUCUGUGGGGAGGGAAGGCAUUAGCAUCUGGAUGCCUGAAAGGCUGAACUGGGCCAAGCUGCCUUGUACCUGAGCAACAGCAGCGGCUACAGCAAGCUCUCUGCAACCUGAACUGGUUAGAAGAACCAAACUUUCAAAUCAGCUGUCAGCUCUCCAGAUGCAUAUAGACAACUUCUUUCAGAGAUCCCCGAGAUGGCUGGGAAGGUACCUGGAAAAUUCCCCUAGUUAAGGCUUAUCUUGGUGGCACCAACAGCCUGGAGCUCUUCGUAGAAGGCAUGCUGGCAGGGGCCCACCUUUUCCCCCAAAAGCAAAAAUGCAAUGUGUCCGCUGCACAUUGUGUAUGUGUAUGUAUGUAGCUAGAUAGUGUGUGUGUAUUCAAAUGAUCUUAUUUCUAAGUUUACAUUGAUACAUAUGCAAAUUUGUUUCCA